AAGCCAGGUUACCUCCCUUGGACCACUGAUUACACCCCUGCGUGGAGGACACAGCCUGGAGUGAACACUGGGACUCACUUUGCUGUUAGCACUUGCGUGAGCUGGCUCAUUACUUGAAUUGUGCUCCUUGUUCUGUCUCUGAGAGGACUGAGCUCCGGGAGAGAACACCAAAGCGAUCGCCAACACCAAACGCAGGAGGAGGAAUUCAAAGUCGAGUGCUUUUGUUGGUUGGGUCCACAAGAAAAUAAAGAGCCAAAAUAAGUCCUAAAUCAGGAAACAGAUAUUCUGUGUUCCAGCUUGACUACAAACUCCCAGUGUGCAAGUAAGUUAAUCUAUCUGAGCCUCAGCUUUUUAUAUAUAAACUCAAAAUUAUGGAUUAGUUUAUUUUUAAGUUCCCAUCUGGGUCCAAAAUUACAGCAAACCUUAGCUGUGGCACAGCUGAAAAUACCAGUAACUAAGCCAGGUCCUGUUAAUGGCCGGCCAGUUCAUCUUCCAAAAGGACUUUGAGACAAGAUGGUUCUUCCCAUUAGAAGAAGAAAUGAAGUUUAAUGCAGAUGGACCCA
RNAcentral lists this long non-coding RNA (563 nucleotides) under Equus asinus (donkey). Its description in RNAcentral is "lncRNA (ENSEASG00005034113.1)". Lineage: Eukaryota; Metazoa; Chordata; Mammalia; Perissodactyla; Equidae. The record is from RNAcentral.